AACGAACGCUGGCGGCAUGCCUAACACAUGCAAGUCGAACGAGAACUUCGGGUCUAGUGGCGCACGGGUGCGUAACGCGUGGUAACCUGCCCUUAGGUUCGGAAUAACUCCCCGAAAGGGGUGCUAAUCCGGGCUAAUAUCUCCGGACCAAAGAUUUAUAGCCUUUGGAUGGGCCCGCGUUGGAUUAGCCAGUCGGUAGGGUAAAAGCCUACCAAGGCGACGAUCCAUAGCUGGGCUGAGAGGAUGAGCAGCCACACUGGGACUGAGACACGGCCCAGACUCCUACGGGAGGCAGCAGUGGGGAAUAUUGGACAAUGGGCGAAAGCCUGAUCCAGCAAGGCCGCGUGAGUGAUGAAGGCCUUAGGGUUGUAAAGCUCUUUUACCCGGGAUGAUAAUGACAGUACCGGGAGAAUAAGCUCCGGCUAACUCCGUG
This 433-nucleotide ribosomal RNA is filed under the name uncultured bacterium. Its description in RNAcentral is "partial 16S ribosomal RNA". It matches the Rfam family "Bacterial small subunit ribosomal RNA", at positions 29 to 507 of the family's 1533-position model. The record is from RNAcentral.